AUACUUGGUUGGCAGGGGAAAUACUAUUAUCAUGGAGGUGGUUUUCUAAGAAUAAAGCUUAUGCAGUCAUUUUGGAUUUGCUGGCCUCUAUAAUUUCCAUAAAUAUGGGAAACUCAACUGCAAACUUUGUGGUAGUGGAGGACUGUGUUCAUAUUUUUUCUUU
This is a small nuclear RNA of Suncus etruscus (white-toothed pygmy shrew), 163 nucleotides long. RefSeq annotates it as U1 spliceosomal RNA. The record is from RefSeq and is a predicted model, not a curated record. The transcript has a single exon. Lineage: Eukaryota; Metazoa; Chordata; Mammalia; Eulipotyphla; Soricidae.